CAGUCGCCGCGGGAAUACGUAGGCGGCAAGCGUUGUCCGGAAUUAUUGGGCGUAAAGGGCUCGCAGGCGGUUUCUUAAGUCUGAUGUGAAAGCCCCCGGCUCAACCGGGGAGGGUCAUUGGAAACUGGGAAACUUGAGUGCAGAAGAGGAGAGUGGAAUUCCACGUGUAGCGGUGAAAUGCGUAGGGAUGUGGAGGAACACCAGUGGCGAAGGCGACUCUCUGGUCUGUAACUGACGCUGAGGAGCGAAAGCGUGGGGAGCGAACAGGAUUAGAUACCCCUGUAGUCCCUGUCUCUUAUAC
This 301-nucleotide ribosomal RNA is filed under the name uncultured bacterium. Its description in RNAcentral is "partial 16S ribosomal RNA". It matches the Rfam family "Bacterial small subunit ribosomal RNA", at positions 509 to 807 of the family's 1533-position model. The record is from RNAcentral.